Capra hircus (goat) is the source of this 147-nucleotide small nucleolar RNA. The record is from Ensembl. NCBI's taxonomy places the organism in Eukaryota, Metazoa, Chordata, Mammalia, Artiodactyla, Bovidae.
AUCGAGGCUAGAGUCACACUUGGGUAUCAGCUGCUGCCUUUGUGUGCUAGAGUCCUUGAAGAGUAACUGCUGACCUUAGUCACUCACUGUAGCCCUCAGGGCAUAGUCACCAGCAAAUAAACAUCAGUGUUGAGAUUGAAAAAAAAA